RNAcentral lists this transfer RNA (86 nucleotides) under Puniceicoccales bacterium. RNAcentral's name for it is "tRNA-Leu". It matches the Rfam family "tRNA". Rfam says of the family: Transfer RNA (tRNA) molecules are approximately 80 nucleotides in length. Their secondary structure includes four short double-helical elements and three loops (D, anti-codon, and T loops). Lineage: Bacteria; Pseudomonadati; Verrucomicrobiota; Opitutia; Puniceicoccales. The record is from RNAcentral.
GCCUGGGUGGCGGAACGGUAGACGCAGGGGACUUAAAAUCCCCUGACCGUAAGGUCGUGUGGGUUCGAGUCCCAUCCUAGGCACCA